GGUGUAUAGCUCAGUGGUAGAGCGCUCACUUAGCAUGCAGGAGGUCCUGGGUUCAAUCCCUAGUAACUCCA
Molecule: transfer RNA, 71 nt
Filed under: Camelus bactrianus (Bactrian camel)
Lineage: Eukaryota; Metazoa; Chordata; Mammalia; Artiodactyla; Camelidae
Also listed under: 2 other names
Rfam family: tRNA
About the family: Transfer RNA (tRNA) molecules are approximately 80 nucleotides in length. Their secondary structure includes four short double-helical elements and three loops (D, anti-codon, and T loops).
Source: Rfam by way of RNAcentral